This is a non-coding RNA of Xyrichtys novacula (pearly razorfish), 1376 nucleotides long. The record is from the annotation of a GenBank genome assembly. Lineage: Eukaryota; Metazoa; Chordata; Actinopteri; Labriformes; Labridae.
UAGAGUGGCGUUUUGGUUGAGCGCAUGGCUCUCUGUAUAGCUAUCGUACGGUCAUUUCUAAAGUUGGUAUAACUAGAGAAGCAAGUGGUCGGCAACAUAAAUCUCUCAAGGGGGUGUCUAGCUUGGUGUUACGGUGUGUUUGACCCUAAUUUAAUUUUACGCCGGAAUAUCCCUUUAAAUGAUCUUGAACAUCUGAACUUCAAUUUUCAACCAGUUUACUUGAAUAAAAUUUUCUUGUCAUAAUUCAAUAUUUUCUGUUUCUUAUCACAGUAAAGAAACCCUCAUUUAUUUUUUUCCAGGCUUAAAAAAAAAAACAUUCAGAUUUUAUCUUGAUGAAACUCGGCUUUGAUGCCUGUCUGUUCCUCCAUCUACAAGGGCAAAGUUAACGUAUAGGAAGUGCUUUGUGACCUCUGCGCUCUUUGCCUGGAGGCAGCCUUUCCUCUGAGCAGCACCCAGCGCUGGAGCUCACCAGCAUUAAUUGCGUGUAGGAGCUCUGCGUUCAGAGAACCCUUGAUGUGAUGGAUGAAUGAAGGGCACAGCGCAGCGCUCUGGGCCCCGAUUGUGUUUCUCUUCAGUCACCACGCUGCCAAUACAAACCUGGACAAGCAAAGACAAACAGGAUGCAGGCCAAUAAGUCACUCUCACUUUUAGGUGAGUCGACCACGGGCACUCGCGGUUACCGACAUACAAGCUAGUUAGACUUUAGAGCGACCCACUCUAUUCACCAAACAAUUCAUAAUGUUUCCUCACAGGCUGCUCACAUCAAUAUUGUUAAUGUACAACUCGGUGACAAAAACUAUCAGUAAUCAUCAGGAGCGAUCGUAAAUGAGGCCUUUUCGCUUUGUAAAACAAUCACACUUGCAACAGUCGGGUCAUGGGCCAAUGUGGAUCCAUUUGGAGUAUAAACAGGAAGAAAAACCAUCCUUCAUGUUCAUGCAUGUGUGAAGUUAUGGUUGAAAAUGCCCGUGACCUCUCCUCCGCCCCUCCCCUUCAUUUGCUUAAUGCACCAAAGGUAAACAAAGAUCCAGGAUCCUGCUUUGUGUCUGUCACCGUACCCCCAUAAAUCAUUAUUGUUUUAUGUAUGCAAUCAUUCCUGUCUUUUUCUAAUGAAGUCAGGGGAAUAGUUCAAUGCUCAGAUAUUACAUUUGAUCUGGAGAUCUUCAAACGUGCGCCCCAUAAAUCCUGAGAUGCAAAUCAUAGACCCUGAGGAUUGCUGUGGUGCCUUGAGGUCUGAGUGCAGUUUUGAUGGGGUGAAAUUCAAAAGAAUAAUCAUGGUUUUGGGGAAUGAAAACUGAAACCGUAGCCAAGCAGGAUCCUCUCUGAAGUGCUUCCGUAUGCCUCCUGAGUCAAAAGGCCUAUGAUUUCACUCUUCAGCU